Equus caballus (horse) is the source of this 3590-nucleotide long non-coding RNA. Lineage: Eukaryota; Metazoa; Chordata; Mammalia; Perissodactyla; Equidae. The record is from Ensembl.
GCACUGACUAGCUCAAAAUGUUUUUAAGCCUCAGCAGAAGAAACAGCCAAUUAAAGGAUUUCAUUUCGAGGUUAAUGGUACACUAUGUGGUGCUAAUUAGUGGUGUGGAGAGUGCUGUUUCUUAACAUCUCGUUCACUCAUAUGACACUAAGCUGUGAAAAGUUGAAGAGAUUAAACGUUGAAAUCGUUUAUGGUGGUGAUAGUGUUAGUGGUGGUGAAUCAGACUAUUUUUGCGUUUGGAAAUCUUGCAUAUAGGCUAGUGAUCCCCAUAGAACACUUUAGUUAUUUUUUUCACUUUAUUGAAGUAUAAUUGAUAAAUAAAAAUUGUACAUAUUUAAGGUGUCCAACUUGAUGUUUUGAUGUACAUGUACAUUGUGAAAUAAUCACCACUAACAAACUAAUUAACAUAUCCAUCACCUCAGACAGUUACCACUUUUUUAGUUCAAUUAUGAUGCAAUCUCUUACACUGAGUUCCUGCUCAGAGUGAACGUCCUUACCAAGCACCAAGACUUAGUUCAAAGAUGGAAUCGUGGCAUAUUCUACCAGGUGGGAGCGCCUCAUUCAAACCGCUGGAGCAAGGUGUUGUUUUUUUCUGCUCCUGCCAUCCAUGUUGCCAGGAGAGAGGACAAGGAGCACAGCCACUGUGAUUGGGAGAAUCCUAGUGAAUUGGGCAGCCCCUCCCUCCCAUAUGAAGAUUAUCCCUGAGCUAACAUCUGUGGCCAAUCCUCCUCUUUUUGCUGAGGAAGACUGGCCCUGAGCUGAUAUCCAUGCCCAUUUUCCUCCACUUUAUAUGAGGGACGCCUACCACAAGAUGGCUUGACAAGUUAUGUGUAAGUCUGCACCCGGGAUCUCAACUGGCGAACUCCAGGCUGUCGAAGCUGAGCGUGUGAACUUAACUGCUGUGCCACCAGGCCAACCAAGAGAUUCAGCAUUUCUAACAAGCUUACAGGUGAUCCCAUUGCUACUGGUGUAGCGACCAAACUUUGAGUAGCAAGACACCAGAGAAAUUGAAGGAGAAAACUUUAUAUCACUGCUGAAAUUCUGUAGACAAAAGAGCUAUGGAAAGUCUCUAAUAAUAAAUUAUUGUUACUGCCUUUGGAUGAUAAUUAUUUGCAUAAAUCUUCAGAAGGUGGUAUAUUUUUUAGGAGGAAGGGAACUCUUUAACUAGCAGGUCUGAAAAUAGGGCUAGUUAAAUAUUUUAUGUAGCAAGUCAUCUUUAAGUCAAGCAUGUAAAUGCUCCACCAUGUCUUAAUUUCAACAUGCAACAGCAUGUAACAAGACUGGAAUCUAUAUCUCUAGCUAUCCUUUAUUUUGUCUUGCUCAUGACAGAAAUACUGCUUUCCACAUCAUUUCAAAUGAUAACUCAGAGCUUAAUGCUAAUGAAGUUGCCAAGUGGUGACCUAAAAGAAGUGAGAGCUUGGCCAGAUGGCUCAAGUCACCGAUUGUAACUGGUUGUCCCAGAUUGAUUAUAUCUAGUGUUUUUAGUCUCUAGCUAUUAAGUGAAUAAUCUUGAAAGUUUUUGAGAAUCUGGUCCAGUUUCCAGCAGUUUGUUAUUAGUGCCACUCAAAUCUGAUUGCAUUUGCUUGACAAUGACUUAAUGGUGGUGGGGAGAGACUAUCUAACUAAGGUUUAUGAAUCUUCCUGGUUAGUGUUCUCUUAGACGAUGCUGACCGCCAGUAUUUUCAUGUCCAAUUUUAUUGCUUUCAUUAUCAGAUGACUUUGCGUCUUUGAGUUUUUGCUUUGAAAAGGUUACAGAUGGUUUCAUUUCACAUAAUGAAUUAAAAAAUGUAUAAUAGAACGUCUCCCACACCAAAAUCUCCUAAGAGGUUGGAUCAACAUCAAUGUAUAUCAAAAAAUAUCUCAUUACAACUGAAAUUCAAACAAAAACUAAGACUUGUCUGCAGAGUGAUUUCUAUUAGAAUUCUUUGAAGAGGCCAAAUAAACAUGAAAAUAAAGAUAAACCAGGAAACAUAAUUUAUCUAAUCUUUCAAAAAUACUCAUAAGCUUCAGUAAGAGAGAAAAUUAAAUCACACGUGGUGGAGGGGUUCUUCUUCCCCAUAAAGUCGUUGUUUGCUGUCAAGAAAUAAAAGGCAGAGAUAAACAGCAUUUUUCUGAAGAAAGAAAUAUUGACAAUGUGACUUGGAAGAGGCUGAUUAAGGUUAAGAGACUAUGGUUUUUAUAAAGACUUUUUUCCUCAUUAUAAAAUAGCUGUUUAUCGUAGAAAAGUUAGAACACGUGAGAAUAUUCAAGUUAAAAAAGUAACCCCCCCUCACCCCAAACACACCAUUGCUAACAUUUUGGGUUUCAAUCUUUUGCCAUCUACAGAUACAGUAAAAUUUUAGCAUGAAAACCUUUGUAUAUUUAAGGGUAUUUUCUGCUUCACUAUAUACAGUAAAAUUAUUUUAGUAGAUUUUUAAAUAAUUAUUACCCUCCAUACAGAUAUAACAAUUUGCAUUCUCUCCAGUUAGGUAUGAGGGUGCCUAUUUUCCUACAUUUUCAUUAUCGUAAGAGUUCAUUCAUUUAAAACAAUUUGGCAAGAUUUAUAGGAGAAAAAUGGUAUUGUGUCAUAAUUGGUGUUUACUUGACCUCCAAUGAGAUUGUAUUUGAAUCAAGUGUUUUUUAGACAUUUGUAGUCACUGGACCAUGUCUUUCUUUCCUUUUUUUUCAGGGAAGUUUUUUUAAAUUAAUUUUUUGUCUUUUUUAUUUUAUUUAUUUUAUUUUUUAUUUUUGGUGAGGAAGAUUGGCCCUGAGCUAAUACCUGUUGUCAAUCUUCCUCUUUUUGUUUGAGGCAGAUUGUUGCUGAGCUAACAUCUAUGCCAAUCGUCCUCUAUUUUGUUUGUGGGAUGCUGCCACAGCAUGGCUUGAUGAGCAGUGUGUAGGUCAGUGACCAGAAUCUGAAUCUGCGAACCCUGGGCCACCAAACUGGAGUGCAUGAACUUAACCACUACACCACUAGGCUAGCCCCAGGACUAUGUCUUUCUUAUGCUUGUGCUCCUAGUGCCUAGAACAGAGCCUGGCACUUAGUAGCUACUCAUAUAAUUCUGUUUUUAUUUACAUAUUUUUUAUUUAUAUUACUACUCAGAUAAGAUUAUUUCUUCAGUUGGGAAGAUUUAUUAAUUUCCUAAGGAAAUCACGUGAUCAUUUGGAAAGGACUCAACACGGUUGUGUGUGAGGUACAAGCAGGUGUUGAGCAUGGUGAGGAGGAGAUGACGUUUCAGCUAAGACCUGAACAAAGAGGAGAAUUCACCCAGGCAAAAGAGAAGUUGAAGGAACGAGGGAAACUGGCCCAGUAAGAAGAGAGACAAGUGCAAGCUUCUAACAGUAUUAGAGUGUAGAGUCUAGCUAAAGUGUACGGUUUGGGGUGGAUGAGGGUAGAGAGAAUUUAAGCUGCACAGCGAAGCAAGAACCAGAUCAUAAUAGAUUUUUUUUUAACUAUGGAGUUUGAGCUUUAUCUAGAGGACAACUCGAGAAUAUGUAUCAAAAGCUACAAACUAUGUAUUCCCUCAAUUCAAGAAUUCUACAAUGAAAAAUAUGUUAUAAAGAAAUAGAGAUGUAACUAAAAUAAUUAUUGCAUCAUUAAUUAUAGCAUU